RNAcentral lists this ribosomal RNA (2226 nucleotides) under Triticum aestivum (bread wheat). RNAcentral's name for it is "partial small subunit ribosomal RNA". Lineage: Eukaryota; Viridiplantae; Streptophyta; Magnoliopsida; Poales; Poaceae. The record is from RNAcentral.
AUGAAGCACAGAUCGCCGAGGACCCGGUGCGCGCCGCCGCCGGUGGGAGUGCCAGCGCGCGGCUGGGGAGGGAGGACGCUGCUGGUGGCGGUUCGGAGGGACGCGGCCGGGAGGGAGCUGCUCACCUGGGCGCUGGCCAAGGCCGCCUCCGCCGGCGACCGCGUUGUUGCCCUCCACGUCACCACCGCCGGAGCCGCCGACGGGUUCGGGCCGGACGAGAGGAGCAGAGCCGCCGAUUCGCUGGCCUCCGUGCUCGGCGCGUACGACGGCUUCUGCAAUCUCAGCCAGAUCAACCUGGAGCUCAGGGUCUGCCAUGGAUCAUCCGUCAAGAGGGCUUUGGUAAACGAGGCCAUCUCCUACGGCGCCGCGCAACUCAUCCUCGGGAUCACCAAGAACUCUAGGCAUCUCGGAUUGUCUGCCACCGUUGUGGCCAAGUACUGCGCGAAGAGGGUUCCGCAGAGCUGCACGGUUCUCGCGGUCAGCAAUGGCGCCGUCGUGUACCAUGGGAACGCAAUACAGGAGGAGAUCAACCACUGCUGCACUACAAUGUCACCCCGAAGAAACUAUUCUCUGGUGGCGGAGACACCGCGAAGAAUCUACCGGAAGAUACUCGACGCAGCGGCGACGAUUGGGGAGAAAACUAAGGAUGACUCAUCCAUCGGCCAUUGCCGGUCCUUGCAGCGGAACAUGUCAAUGUCGAUGAGCGCUCCCGUCUCGCCAAAGGUAGCGGCAGCACCACCGACUCCGGUGACAUGUCACAGGCGGGAACUGCCGGAGGUGGCUGCCGGGUGGCCAUUGCGAAGGAAGGACAUCAUGCCUGCCUCGCCGGAGUGUUCGGAGAUGUCUGUGGUUGAGUGGGCAAUGCGGCUUCCAAGCCGGUGCUCACUGCUAUCGCCAGCCAGUUCAGUCAAAACUUCCGAUCACCAGGCGACCUCUCAAUCGAGAAGCGAUUCGACAGAGCCGCCGUCUCCGGUGACCGAGGAAGCAGCGGAGCUGGUCUCGAUCAGAGAGAAGUACUCGUCAAUGUACACCAUGUUCAGUUACAGUGAUCUUGCGAGGAUCACCUCUGACUUCUCCCCAGAGCGGGUAGUGGGGAAAGGUGGUGCGAGCCAUGUUUACAGUGGCCGUUGCGAAGACGGCAAGGAGCUGGCGGUGAAGGUCUUGAAAUCUUCAGCCGAGGUGAUGAAGGAGUUCGUCGGGGAGAUCGGCAUCGUCAGCUCCGUCGAGCACAAGAACGCCAUGGCCCUCGUCGGGUUCUGCGCCGAGCGCGGCAAGCUCAUGCUGGUCUACGACUACAUGCGCAGAGGCAGCCUGGAGGAGAUCUUGCACGGGGAGGAGAAAGAAUGCAAGGGCUCAAGGUUAGAUUGGCCGGAGAGAUUCAAGGUGGCCGUGGGAGUCGCGCGCGCCCUCAAUUAUCUCCACGGCGGCGGCCACACCAAGUGUCCGGUGAUUCACAGGGACGUCAAGUCCUCCAACAUCCUCAUCUCCCAAGAUUGCGAACCCAAGCUGUGCGACUUCGGCCUCGCGCUGUGGGCGGCGGACGCGGCGGCGCAGGUCACCGGCGACGACUUGGCCGGCACGUUCGGGUACUUGGCCCCUGAGUACUUCAUGCACGGCAAGGUCAGCGACAAGAUGGACGUGUACGCCUUCGGGGUGGUCCUUCUGGAGCUCGUCUCCGGGAGGAAGCCGGUGAGCUCAGGUGGCCCCAAGGGCCAGGAGAGCAUAGUGAUGUGGGCGAAUUCCGUCGUGCAAGGUGGGAAGCUGACAGAGCUCGUCGAUCCGAGCCUUCCGACGGACGGCGACAACGCCGGCGAGAUGGAGAGAAUAGCCCUCGCGGCUGCACUCUGCAUCCGUCGAGCACCGCACGUUCGGCCUAGCAUGGCAAACGUCCUGAAGCUGCUCGACGGCGACAGCGACGCCGUCCAGUGGGCGAGGUCGCAGCUGGGCAUGCCCAACGCCUGCGACGACAACCACGGCGACAAAGAUUAUGACAGCGCGGCUGCUUUGCCUGACAAGAACGACAUCCAGUCGUACAUCAAGCUCGCUCUGCUCGACGGCGGCGACGAGGAGGACGACGACGACUCCGCGUCCGUGGGUUGCGCCGCCGACUUCAUCGCCGGCAACAUGUCGCUGGAGGAGUACAUGAAGGGGAGGUGGAGCCGGUCGUCCAGCUUGACUGAAGACGGAGGCUCCAACCAUGGCGGGAGUGCACGAGUUUUUGUGUAG